GACGAACGCUGGCGGCGUGCUUAACACAUGCAAGUUGAACGGAAAGGCCCUGCUUUUGUGGGGUGCUCGAGUGGCGAACGGGUGAGUAACACGUGAGUAACCUGCCCUUGACUUUGGGAUAACUUCAGGAAACUGGGGCUAAUACCGGAUAGGAGCUCCUGCUGCAUGGUGGGGGUUGGAAAGUUUCGGCGGUUGGGGAUGGACUCGCGGCUUAUCAGCUUGUUGGUGGGGUAGUGGCUUACCAAGGCUUUGACGGGUAGCCGGCCUGAGAGGGUGACCGGCCACAUUGGGCCUGAGAUACGGCCCAGACUCCUACGGGAGGCAGCAGUGGGGAAUAUUGCACAAUGGGCGGAAGCCUGAUGCAGCAACGCCGCGUGCGGGAUGACGGCCUUCGGGUUGUAAACCGCUUUCGCCUGUGACGAAGCGUGAGUGACGGUAAUGGGUAAAGAAGCACCGGCUAACUACGUG
Molecule: ribosomal RNA, 468 nt
Filed under: uncultured bacterium
Lineage: Bacteria
Description: partial 16S ribosomal RNA
Rfam family: Bacterial small subunit ribosomal RNA
Source: RNAcentral